AGUCUCGUAGCUCAGUUGGUCAGAGCACCACACUGAUAAUGUGGGGGUCAGCGGUUCAACUCCGCUCGAGACUA
RNAcentral lists this transfer RNA (74 nucleotides) under Candidatus Pullibacteroides excrementavium. Its description in RNAcentral is "tRNA-Ile". It matches the Rfam family "tRNA". From Rfam's summary of the family: Transfer RNA (tRNA) molecules are approximately 80 nucleotides in length. Their secondary structure includes four short double-helical elements and three loops (D, anti-codon, and T loops). Further hydrogen bonds mediate the characteristic L-shaped molecular structure. tRNAs have two regions of fundamental functional importance: the anti-codon, which is responsible for specific mRNA codon recognition, and the 3' end, to which the tRNAs corresponding amino acid is attached (by aminoacyl-tRNA synthetases). tRNAs cope with the degeneracy of the genetic code in two manners: having more than one tRNA (with a specific anti-codon) for a particular amino acid; and 'wobble' base-pairing, i.e. permitting non-standard base-pairing at the 3rd anti-codon position. Lineage: Bacteria; Pseudomonadati; Bacteroidota; Bacteroidia; Bacteroidales. The record is from RNAcentral.